AGAGAGAGAGAGAGAGAAAUAUUGACAACAGCUUCGUCUUUCCCUAAAGGCUUUACAGUCAUCUUCGAACUUAAAAGGAGUGGGGGCUUAUUUCCUAUAACUCAAAGGAAAAGCUCCUAGGAAGCAAAAUCAGAUCGGUGCCCAGCCUUUGUUUUUGCCUCCUAAUAUUAGAUUCCUCUCCCUCUAUGUCAACACCAGACCUGAAAAAUUUAAGGCAAUGUAUUUCAUGAUCUUUACGUACCAAUUAAUUUUAACGAUGCAUUAAUUUUCAAAAGACAGGUGCAGAAGCGUCUCUGUGCAAAAUCAAAACAAGCAUUUGUUUCAUACAGGGAGGGACCUAAACAGCCACAAUGAUACGUGCUUUUACAAACGUCAGAUUAUUUUCAAGGGCAAAUCCCCCAAGUGUGCAUUUAUUGUACACAAAGGGUCAUUGUUUUAAGCAACUGAAGAGGUUGGAUAAAAUGAAGAUUUUCUUCAUAAAUACGAGGUAAAAUUAAAAAAUGUUGUUUUCUUAAUGAAAAAUGUAUUUUGAUCCAUUUUUUUUUAAAUUACGGGACAUUAGUUCAGGAUUUUUGCCCAUAGCUAGCCUAUAUUCACCACUUAAAGUGCAGUUCACCACCCCCACAGCUGAGAUGUAUGCGGUUUCCUAGGCAACACACAUUUUGCCACUGAAUGAACAGGAAUUGAAAGGAAGACUGCAAAGGCUGCAGGUCCCUGGUUAUUUCUUCCCCCACCCUGUCCGCCCUUCUCAUUGCUAGAAAUUUUAGGAAUAUUGGGAAGUUGUCAUUCUAACAUUUAUGUAAAAGAGCCAAAUGCCCAGAGAAUUGGACCUAGAAAGGGAUUGCAGCCACAUAUAGUAGCCGCGGGUGGGCACUGGGAAAGGGCUCCCGGGCUGUCUCCGGUCAGCCUGCCGGAGGUUCACCCUCUGAUUCUCUCCUUUUUCCCCUUCCCUCUUAGAAACGAGUAGCUAUUGUGCUGCACAGCACUGUCCAGAGCUCUAGAAUGAAGGCGCUACUUGGGUGGGGGGCUCCGAGCCCCCUGACCUCCUGCUGCAGUGGGGUUCUGUAGGGAUCAGCCACUUAGGCAACAAAAGACUGGGAUCUGCAGAGAAAAUUUCGCAUCUUGAAUGCAGCAAAAGCAUGCGGGCGCCUGCACCUUGGUCUUUGUUUCUCAUCGGGGCUGGGUGUUUUCCCAUGGCCAGUGCUCAUGAAUUUGAAUUUUAAGAGCCAACAUCCAGUCAUCAAGCCUUUCACAAAAGAGGGUUGUCUUCCUUGUCAAGCAAAUCAGCAGGAGGAGGGGAACCCCUGAUUUUCCAGGGCACCCGGAUCCUUUCAAGGGCUGCCUCCUCUCCUCCAAUCCCUAGCAAAGUUGUUUGGGUUUUUUUUUGUUUGUUUGUUUGUUUUUUGUUUUUUUUUGUUUUUGUUUUUGUUUUUUUUUUUUUUAGAUUCUUCAACCUGGAGCACAGAGAAGCACAGAAUUGUUCACAGUGCAGCCUAGUAAACUGCAUUUCCAUAGUACAGAGUCGUCCUGGGAAGAAUACAAGAACCAGAAGUACUCAAACGGAGGCAUGCUAGAACUCAGACAGCCUGCCUGCGUAAGGUGCAGUCUGUGAAAGCCGUCAGUGUGAAAAUGGAUCCAUUUUUAAAUGGUAGAGUACACAGCAGAAGACAGAAUGGGGGAGACAUUUUAAGUGAAGGAGGCAGAUUGCUGUAGUAUCAGUGUGACCGUAGGCUGCCACCCACAUUGUUCCAUGAGCAACUGCUGUUUGGCAGUGUCUUCAGAGCUCACGGUCUCUCCAAAAUGUACCACAGAACUUUGCUUGUCACUUAAAUAAAAUGAUAAUAUACAUACACGCUAACCCCUCUGCUCUUUGCCCUAGUGAGCAUGCACCAGAACCUCUCAGCAAAUCAGUCUCUCCUUCAUUUCCCAAUUGGUGGCUACUCAUAGUCACAGCAUGGUUUAAAUUUUAUUUUAUUUUAUUUUAUUUGUAUUGUUUUGGUUUUUCGAGACAGGGUUUCUCUGUGUAGCUCUGGCUGUCCUGAAACUUACUCUGUAGACCAGGCUGGCCUCGAACUCAGAAAUCGGCCUGCCUCUGCCACCCAGGUACUGGGAUCAAAGGUGUGCGCCACCAUGGCCCAGAAAUUUUUUUUUUUUCAUUUAGAGGCUAUCUGAGAGAAUUUGUUGCUCCUUUUAAAGUAGCUUUUUGAAAAGGAAACAUAUUAGAAGGUUUAGUCUGGUAUGCAUAUUCUGUGGAGUUUUGAUCUGUUGUUAUGUAUUGCAGUGCUGAAUUCUGUACCGGAAGGCGUAGGUCUACAAAUUCUCACACUUAUCUGCCUUUGUUGUGCACACCUUGCUCCUCAGUGCACAGUUGCUCUCUUCAGACACACCAGAAGAGGGCAUUGAGUCCCAUUGCAACACCUUGCUCCUUAAUUUAAGUACGUGUUGUAAUGCUAAACACUGGCACUGGUUACCUCAGGGAUGAGAGAUCCUCACACAGACCAAGUAAUGUUAUGUAACCUUGCCCCCCCCCCCCAAGUCAACUCCGAUUGACCAAUAAGGAUGCCUACAGCCUAUAGCUGGGCAGAAGAGAGUUUGAGUUCCCUGGGCUUGGGGUCUGGGGCAGAACCAGGAAAAGAAAAUAGAGAGAAGAUGCAGUGGGGUAGGUAAAUCAUGGAAACAUGGCCAUGAAGGCUGGUCAAUUGGAGUCAAGAGUGACCCAGAUGAAACAUGGCAAGUCAUAACUCAGGGUUAUUGAUAGGGAAGUAGAUACUAAUAGCUUAGAGGGUAGAUAUCCGCCCAGUUCUAGUGCUUUAAAGGCUUAUCAAAAAUAUAAAGGUUUUGUGUGUGUGUGUGUGUGUGUUUUUUCUUCUGGGAACUGAAUGAUAUGGGGGGGAGGGGGUAGAUACUCUCAUAUGAGACUAAAUAUUCUCUACAACAUAUUUUAAUUAAAAGUGUGCC
RNAcentral lists this long non-coding RNA (2958 nucleotides) under Mus musculus (house mouse). Its description in RNAcentral is "long non-coding RNA chr13:34132801-34135759". The record is from RNAcentral. Lineage: Eukaryota; Metazoa; Chordata; Mammalia; Rodentia; Muridae.